Molecule: ribosomal RNA, 222 nt
Filed under: uncultured bacterium
Lineage: Bacteria
Description: partial 16S ribosomal RNA
Rfam family: Bacterial small subunit ribosomal RNA
Source: RNAcentral
ACGCUCGACACCUACGGAGGCAGCAGUAGGGAAUCUUCCACAAUGGACGCAAGUCUGAUGGAGCAACGCCGCGUGAGUGAAGAAGGUUUUCGGAUCGUAAAGCUCUGUUGUUGGUGAAGAAGGAUAGAGGUAGUAACUGGCCUUUAUUUGACGGUAAUCAACCAGAAAGUCACGGCUAACUACGUGCCUGCAGCCGCGGUAAUCUGAGCGGGCUGGCAAGGC